AGAUUGAACGCUGGCGGCAUGCCUUACACAUGCAAGUCGAACGGCAGCACGGGAGCAAUCCUGGUGGCGAGUGGCGAACGGGUGAGUAAUAUAUCGGAACGUGCCCAGUCGUGGGGGAUAACGCAGCGAAAGCUGUGCUAAUACCGCAUACGAUCUAUGGAUGAAAGCGGGGGAUCGCAAGACCUCGCGCGAUUGGAGCGGCCGAUAUCAGAUUAGCUAGUUGGUGGGGUAAAAGCCUACCAAGGCGACGAUCUGUAGCUGGUCUGAGAGGACGACCAGCCACACUGGAACUGAGACACGGUCCAGACUCCUACGGGAGCAGCAGUGGGGAA
RNAcentral lists this ribosomal RNA (332 nucleotides) under uncultured soil bacterium. RNAcentral's name for it is "bacterial SSU rRNA". It matches the Rfam family "Bacterial small subunit ribosomal RNA", at positions 26 to 361 of the family's 1533-position model. The record is from RNAcentral.